This 520-nucleotide ribosomal RNA is filed under the name uncultured bacterium. Its description in RNAcentral is "bacterial SSU rRNA". It matches the Rfam family "Bacterial small subunit ribosomal RNA", at positions 120 to 674 of the family's 1533-position model. The record is from RNAcentral.
GGGAAUCUACCCUGAACUGCGGAAUAGCUCCGGGAAACUGGAAUUAAUACCGCAUGUGCCCUGAGGGGCAAAGAUUUAUCGGUUCAGGAUGAGCCCGCGUCGGAUUAGCUAGUUGGUGGGGUAAUGGCCUACCAAGGCGACGAUCCGUAGCUGGUCUAAGAGGAUGAUCAGCCACAUUGGGACUGAGACACGGCCCAAACUCCUACGGGAGGCAGCAGUGGGGAAUAUUGGACAAUGGGCGCAAGCCUGAUCCAGCCAUGCCGCGUGAGUGAUGAAGGCCCUAGGGUUGUAAAGCUCUUUCAGUGGGGACGAUAAUGACGGUACCCACAGAAGAAGCCCCGGCUAACUUCGUGCCAGCAGCCGCGGUAAUACGAAGGGGGCUAGCGUUGUUCGGAAUUACUGGGCGUAAGGCGCACGUAGGCGGAUAUUUAAGUCAGGGGUGAAAUCCCGGGGCUCAACCCCGGAACUGCCUUUGAUACUGGAUGUCUUGAGUCCGGAAGAGGUGAGUGGAAUUGCGAGU